UGUUUUUACUGGGACUUAAUUGGCCCUUUAAACUUUAUACAACUUUCAGCAACGGAACUCUUGGCUCUCGCAUCGAUGAAAAAACGCAGCGAAAUGCGAUAAGUAAUGUGAAUUUGCAAAAUUCAGUGAAUCAUCGAAUCUUUGAACGCACCUUUGCCCCCCUUUUGGUAUUCCGAAGGGCAUGCCUGUUUGAGUGUCAUUAAAUUUCUCAACUUCAAAGGCUUUUGUCUUUUUGAAGCUUGGAUGUGAAGGCUGCUGGCGUUUUAAAUGUUCAGCUCCUUUUGAAAUGCAUUACUGGACCCAUUUGUGUUCAGCCUUAUUGUGAUAAUUAUCUACGCUAUGGUUUUUGAAUACUGGCUCAUUAGAUCUUCGAGGUGUUUUAUACAUUCUCGGUGUUGGGGGAGUUGCAUGAACUUUGCUCUCUCUGUCUAUUUGAGUUUGGCUUUGUCUGCUUUUCUAACUGUCUACUUUUGUGGGACAAUUUUUGAACCAUUUGACCUCAAAUCACGUAGGACUACCCGCUGAGCUUAAGCAUAUCAAUAAGCGGGAGGA
This 552-nucleotide ribosomal RNA is filed under the name uncultured Agaricales. RNAcentral describes it as "eukaryotic LSU rRNA". The stretch from base 41 to 199 matches the Rfam family "5.8S ribosomal RNA". Lineage: Eukaryota; Fungi; Basidiomycota; Agaricomycetes; Agaricales. The record is from RNAcentral.